This 1021-nucleotide small RNA is filed under the name Pongo abelii (Sumatran orangutan). Its description in RNAcentral is "processed transcript". The record is from RNAcentral. Lineage: Eukaryota; Metazoa; Chordata; Mammalia; Primates; Hominidae.
CCACCACGCCCGGCUAAUUUUUGUAUUUUUAGUAGAGAUGGGGUUUCACCAUGUUGGUCAGGCUGGUCUUGAACUCCUAACCUCAGGUGAUCCACCCACCUCGGCCUACCAAAAUGCUGGGAUUACAGGCAUGAGCCACUGCGCCCGGCCAGAUUGUGUGUAUUUAUUAUAGCCCUUUACUUCACCGUGCCACUGCCUGGUGUAGACAUCACAUAUCGGAGCUAAUACACGACACUGGCAACAAGGCUGAAUCCUUGAACUGUUGUCGCCUGUUGAGAAAGGAUUCCUUUUCCGGAACAGAAGUGCAGAGGAGGAGAGAGCGAAGAGUUAAAAGCUGGCACCCAGGCAUGUGCCUGUCUGAGAAAUCAGAGCCGUGCUCCUGAGCCUCGGUCGGGGUGAGGACGACAGGGCUGACCUCCCAGCUGCAAACACAAGGACACUGAGAUGCAAAGAAAGGAGAGUCCACGUUGAAGAAACCCACGUUGAGGGGCCUCUUCUCCCUCUGUUCCCGGCUCGGUGAUGGUGGAGGGUAAGGAAACGGAUCCUCCCUUUGCAACAUUAAACCAGGCCAAACCUGUAUUUUUCUCUUCCUUCCUUUUUCUUGUUUUGUAAUUGACGGCUCCUUAGGACUACCAAGAAUGUCCUAGAAGGAAUAAAAUCAAGUUUCCCAAGGCUUUGUGACUCAGAGCCCUUUGGAGGUGUUCACGGAACACACGGGCCGCCCGGAGGCCUUGGCCCUCCAGGGAAACACCACCAGAAGUCCCCAGAAGCAGAACAGGCAGCAAGGAGGCUCCCCGAGAUCUCCCAGAGGGAGCACAGCCCUGCCAAGGUAUUGGUUUUGGACUUCCGGCUUCCAGAGCUACGAGAAAAUAAGUAUUUGUUAUUUAAGCCAUCAGGUUUGUGGCGAUUGUUAUGGCAGCCUCAGGAAACUCCUACAAGGAAGUGAGUUACGCUCACAGCAGAAAGUGCUACAGCAAACCAAGGCGGAUCAAAAACAGAAGAAACCUAAUACAGACCGGAC